Molecule: ribosomal RNA, 854 nt
Filed under: Bacillus zhangzhouensis
Lineage: Bacteria; Bacillati; Bacillota; Bacilli; Caryophanales; Bacillaceae
Description: bacterial SSU rRNA
Rfam family: Bacterial small subunit ribosomal RNA
Source: RNAcentral
AGUCGAGCGGACAGAAGGGAGCUUGCUCCCGGAUGUUAGCGGCGGACGGGUGAGUAACACGUGGGUAACCUGCCUGUAAGACUGGGAUAACUCCGGGAAACCGGAGCUAAUACCGGAUAGUUCCUUGAACCGCAUGGUUCAAGGAUGAAAGACGGUUUCGGCUGUCACUUACAGAUGGACCCGCGGCGCAUUAGCUAGUUGGUGGGGUAAUGGCUCACCAAGGCGACGAUGCGUAGCCGACCUGAGAGGGUGAUCGGCCACACUGGGACUGAGACACGGCCCAGACUCCUACGGGAGGCAGCAGUAGGGAAUCUUCCGCAAUGGACGAAAGUCUGACGGAGCAACGCCGCGUGAGUGAUGAAGGUUUUCGGAUCGUAAAGCUCUGUUGUUAGGGAAGAACAAGUGCGAGAGUAACUGCUCGCACCUUGACGGUACCUAACCAGAAAGCCACGGCUAACUACGUGCCAGCAGCCGCGGUAAUACGUAGGUGGCAAGCGUUGUCCGGAAUUAUUGGGCGUAAAGGGCUCGCAGGCGGUUUCUUAAGUCUGAUGUGAAAGCCCCCGGCUCAACCGGGGAGGGUCAUUGGAAACUGGGAAACUUGAGUGCAGAAGAGGAGAGUGGAAUUCCACGUGUAGCGGUGAAAUGCGUAGAGAUGUGGAGGAACACCAGUGGCGAAGGCGACUCUCUGGUCUGUAACUGACGCUGAGGAGCGAAAGCGUGGGGAGCGAACAGGAUUAGAUACCCUGGUAGUCCACGCCGUAAACGAUGAGUGCUAAGUGUUAGGGGGUUUCCGCCCCUUAGUGCUGCAGCUAACGCAUUAAGCACUCCGCCUGGGGAGUACGGUCGCAAGACUG